This 434-nucleotide ribosomal RNA is filed under the name uncultured bacterium. RNAcentral describes it as "partial 16S ribosomal RNA". It matches the Rfam family "Bacterial small subunit ribosomal RNA", at positions 29 to 507 of the family's 1533-position model. The record is from RNAcentral.
AGCGAACGCUGGCGGCAGGCCUAACACAUGCAAGUCGAACGAACCUUUCGGGGUUAGUGGCGGACGGGUGAGUAACACGUGGGAACGUGCCUUUAGGUUCGGAAUACCUCAGGGAAACUUGUGCUAAUACCGAAUGUGCCCUUCGGGGGAAAGAUUAAUCGCCUUUAGAGCGGCCCGCGUCUGAUUAGCUAGUUGGUUGAGGUAAUGGCUCACCAAGGCGACGAUCAGUAGCUGGUCUGAGAGGAUGAUCAGCCACAUUGGGACUGAGACACGGCCCAAACUCCUACGGGAGGCAGCAGUGGGGAAUCUUGCGCAAUGGGCGAAAGCCUGACGCAGCCAUGCCGCGUGAAUGAUGAAUGUCUUAGGAUUGUAAAAUUCUUUCACCGGGGACGAGAAUGACGGUACCCGGUGAAGAAGCCCCGGCUAACUUCGUG